GCUUUGCUAAGUAAGAUGUUUACUGGAGUACAUUUCUCUCCUGAUAUCAGAGAUGCGGCUGCCCCAAGCACAUUUAGAAGUUGCACUCUUGGUACAAAAGUAAAGGUUUGUUCUCUUCUGCCUGCAAAACUACAGCCAGCAACUAGAGGUGAUACCUGAAUUUAUCCGGAUUGACAAUCUUCACCCCUGGAAAACAUGACUCCCAGAAUCCAGCGGUGGGGGAGAGGGGGUCGCAUGGGGGGAGAACAGCUCCUCCCGGUGUGCCUCAACACAGGGCAUCCAACACCUACUUGUCACUCCCAAGGCUGACUGAUGAAUAAUGCUCCCAAGUCUUGCUGCA
Molecule: non-coding RNA, 340 nt
Filed under: Pongo abelii (Sumatran orangutan)
Lineage: Eukaryota; Metazoa; Chordata; Mammalia; Primates; Hominidae
Source: RNAcentral